UAGGGAAUAUUAGUAAUGGGCGAAAGCCUGAACUAGCAACACCGCGUGUGCGAAGAAGGCCUUCGGGUCGUAAAGCACUUUUCGGGAGGAUGAGGAAGGACGGUACUCUCGGAAUAAGUCUCGGCUAACUACGUGCCAGCAGCCGCGGUAAAACGUAGGAGGCGAACGUUAUCCGGAUUUACUGGGCGUAAAGCGCGUGUAGGUGGUUUGGUAAGUAGGGCGUGAAAGCUCCUGGCUCAACUGGGAGAGGUCGUUCUAAACUGCCGAGCUAGAGGAUGGUAGAGGGAGGUGGAAUUCCGGGUGUAGCGGUGGAAUGCGCAGAUAUCCGGAGGAACACCAGUGGCGAAAGCGGCCUCCUGGACCAUUUCUGACACUCAGACGCGAAAGCUAGGGUAGCAAACGG
Molecule: ribosomal RNA, 403 nt
Filed under: uncultured bacterium
Lineage: Bacteria
Description: bacterial SSU rRNA
Rfam family: Bacterial small subunit ribosomal RNA
Source: RNAcentral